GUGGGGAAUAUUGGACAAUGGGCGCAAGCCUGAUCCAGCCAUGCCGCGUGAGUGAUGAAGGCCUUAGGGUUGUAAAGCUCUUUCACCGAUGAAGAUAAUGACGGUAGUCGGAGAAGAAGCCCCGGCUAACUUCGUGCCAGCAGCCGCGGUAAUACGAAGGGGGCUAGCGUUGUUCGGAUUUACUGGGCGUAAAGCGCACGUAGGCGGUUUGUUAAGUCAGGGGUGAAAUCCCGGAGCUCAACUCCGGAACUGCCUUUGAUACUGGCAAGCUAGGGUCCGGAAGAGGUAAGUGGAACUCCUAGUGUAGAGGUGGAAUUCGUAGAUAUUAGGAAGAACACCAGUGGCGAAGGCGGCUUACUGGUCCGGAACUGACGCUGAGGUGCGAAAGCGUGGGGAGCAAACAGGAUUAGUUACCCCAGUAGUCC
Molecule: ribosomal RNA, 425 nt
Filed under: uncultured bacterium
Lineage: Bacteria
Description: partial 16S ribosomal RNA
Rfam family: Bacterial small subunit ribosomal RNA
Source: RNAcentral